This is a non-coding RNA of Dermacentor albipictus, 899 nucleotides long. NCBI's taxonomy places the organism in Eukaryota, Metazoa, Arthropoda, Arachnida, Ixodida, Ixodidae. The record is from RefSeq and is a predicted model, not a curated record.
GCAGCAUAAUCAAAGCAGACCAAAGCAGUACCUGGCUUUGCAGUUUUGCCACGAGAGAAGCAUCCAUAACUGGAUUCGACUGGAGCGUUGUGUUGCCAGAGUGCUUGAGCAGGACGAGUUUCUGGAAUGAGUGCUAAGGAUCUGACUGAAGUACAAAUCCAGCUGAACCUCGACAUUUGGCAGGAGAGCCACCACUGGAACCGCUGAAGCUGUCAUCGUUUUUGCAUGGAAAUUUGGAUCAAACGUCAUCACUUCAGUGCAGCGAGACAGUGAAACAGUGAAAGGGCCAUCGUUCUAUUCAACAAUCAACCUGUACUUCCAAAUGGCGUCCAACGGAGGCAACGUGUGUGUCGCCAGCUUGUCUCCCUGAAAAAGGGGGCAUUUCUUCAUCGUCUUCCUACGAUGAUGGUUCUGACACCAAGGUCUACAUCACUGUAGGAAGCGAAGACAAAAGCGAUGAUGACUGAGGUUAGCAGCUCCUUGGAAGAAGAAGACAAAGGCAAGCUCGCAGGACGACAUCACAAGUUCGUGUCUGGACCAGAAUUGAUGCGAACAGCAUUUUGCUGAAGCCUCCACUGUAUCUUUCUUUUCUGUACUCAGCAAGAAGUUUACCGUAAGCUCGCCAGCUGAAUUAUACCGAGUGUUUUCUAGAGGAGCUGCUUUUCAUGACAGUCGAUGAAAUGAAUCAAAAUACUCAAAAUCAAAAUACUCAAAUGCUCAAGGCUGCGUAAUCCCUAGUUUUGAGCAGUACCACCCUCUGCCAAAGCUCCCUCAGCCAAACAACGUUCUGUUAGCAUGAGCAGCUAAUGUGAUAAAGACAAAAAAAUUCCCUUCCACAAUUUUUGUCGAUUACUAGAAGGUGGUUGGUGCACUUGUACUAUGGCAUACAAUAAACUUCA